GAGGUCGUCAUUCUGGGCUGAAAAUUUAUGUGCCUAUUGCUACUAAAUUUAAUGCUCAAGGUGUUGCUGAAGUUUGAGUUUUGAGAAGCAAUUGAAUAGCGAACCUUUAGUGCUCAAGGUGUUGCUGAAGUUCUAAGUUUUGAGAAGCAAUUUAAUAGUGAACUUACCAGCUUAUUUGAAUCUUAGAAUUUUUCAUUUAAAUGAAAGUUGUUGAUGUAAUACAAGUUUCCUAAGCAUUAUUUGUAUUUUUUACAAUAUUUUAUAAAUCUGAAACUGGGUGUGAACAUUAGAACUUGAUUGAAGAAUUUUGAACUCAAAUAAGAGUGUUUUGGAUUGUUAUUGAAGGUUGUUGAAACAACCUGGAAAUUUUUUACUUUUUGCACUAGUUGUAUAGUGAGUGCAAGUUGAUUUUUCUGCACAUUUGAGUUCAGUUGAUUACAAAUAUUUUGGUUAUGUUAACAGGGAAUUACAAGCUGAAAAAUAUUGCUUAAAGUUACUUUGUUUGUUGAUGCUAGUUUAGUUUGAUGUUAUUUGGUCCAUCAGGCUAGAAAUGUGAAUCUGUAAAGUUGUCUGUAGCACAAUUUUUUGCUUGAUUCUAAAUGUUAAUUACAUCUUGAGUUUGAUCCUGCAUAGGUGCUGAGUUUUAAUUAGCAGUCAAGUUACAAUCGUGUUAUUUGGAUUUUUACUCACU
Molecule: long non-coding RNA, 691 nt
Filed under: Nicotiana benthamiana
Lineage: Eukaryota; Viridiplantae; Streptophyta; Magnoliopsida; Solanales; Solanaceae
Description: long non-coding RNA (NBEN_LNC005553)
Source: RNAcentral